UACGUAGGGUGCAAGCGUUAAUCGGAAUUACUGGGCGUAAAGCGUGCGCAGGCGGUUAUAUAAGACAGGUGUGAAAUCCCCGGGCUUAACCUGGGAAUUGCAUUUGUGACUGUAUAGCUGGAGUGCGGCAGAGGGGGAUGGAAUUCCGCGUGUAGCAGUGAAAUGCGUAGAUAUGCGGAGGAACACCGAUGGCGAAGGCAAUCCCCUGGGCCUGCACUGACGCUCAUGCACGAAAGCGUGGGGAGCAAACAGG
This 253-nucleotide ribosomal RNA is filed under the name uncultured bacterium. Its description in RNAcentral is "partial 16S ribosomal RNA". It matches the Rfam family "Bacterial small subunit ribosomal RNA", at positions 524 to 776 of the family's 1533-position model. The record is from RNAcentral.